CUAAUACUCGAUGCACUCAAUAUUUCGUUCUGUUGAUUAAAGCUUAGGCGCUUUGGUAUGGGCCUGCGGUCCAUCAGGUACUUGGUACGGGUAAUGGCCUACCAAUGCGAAGACGGAUAGGGGGCGUGAUGAUCGCGAUCCCCCACACUGGCACUGAGACACGGGCCAGACUCCUACUGGAGGCAGGAGUGACGGAUAUUGCGCAAUGGACUGAAGUCUGACGCAGCGACGCCGCGUGGAUGAUGAAGUGCCUUCCGGUUGUAAAGCCCUUCUAUGGGGGAAGAGAAAGGACGGUACCCCAUGAAUAAGCCCCGGCUAACUACGUGCCAGCAGGCGCGGCUACAACGUAGGGGGCAAGCGUUAUCCGGAUUUACUGGGCGUAAAGAGCGUUGAGGCGGUUCUGUAAGUUGGGCGUGAAAGCCCCGGGCUCAACCCGGGGAUGUCGUUCAAUACUGCAGGGCUUGAGGGCAGCAGAGGGAGCUGGAUUCCCGGUGUAUCGGUGAAAUGCGUAGACAUCGGGAGGAACACCAGUGGCGAAGGCGGCCUCCUGGGCUGUUCCUGACGCUGAAGGCGAAAGCUAGGGUAGCGAACGGGAUUAGUAACCCCGGUAGUCCUAGCUGUAAACGAUGGAUGCUAGAUGUAGGGGGUAUAGAUUCCCUCUGUGUCGCAGUUAACGCGUUAAGCAUCCCGCCUGGGGAGUACGGUCGCAAGGCUAAAACUCAAACGAAUUGACGGGGGCCCGCACAAGCAGCGGAGCGUGUGGUUUAAUUCGAUGCUACACGAAGAACCUUACCUGGGCAUUGACAUGUAUGUGUUAGUGAAGUGUAAGCGGAUCGACCCAUCGGGGAGCAUACACAGGUGCUGCAUGGCUGUCGUCAGCUCGUGCCGUGAGGUGUCGGGUUAAGUCCCGUAACGAGCGCAACCCCUGUCUUUAGUUACAAGUGUUUAGGGAGACUGCCGCCGGUAAGCCGGAUGAAGGUGGGGAUGACGUCAAGUCAGCAUGGCCUUUAUGUCCAGGGCUACACACACGCUACAAUGGCCGGUACAAUGGGUUGCCAAACCGUGAGGUGGAGCCAAUCCCGUAAAGCCGGUGUCAGUUCGAAUUGUAGACUGCAACUCGUUUACAUGAAGUCGGAGUUGCUAGUGAUCGCGGAUCAGCAUGCCACGGUGAAUAUGUUCCCGGGCCUUGUACACACCGCCCGUCACGUCAUGGAAGCUGGCAACACCUGUAGCCGGUGAGCCAACCCG
This 1248-nucleotide ribosomal RNA is filed under the name uncultured organism. RNAcentral describes it as "bacterial SSU rRNA". It matches the Rfam family "Bacterial small subunit ribosomal RNA", at positions 163 to 1442 of the family's 1533-position model. The record is from RNAcentral.